This 352-nucleotide ribosomal RNA is filed under the name Vibrio sp. Its description in RNAcentral is "bacterial SSU rRNA". It matches the Rfam family "Bacterial small subunit ribosomal RNA", at positions 1045 to 1397 of the family's 1533-position model. Lineage: Bacteria; Pseudomonadati; Pseudomonadota; Gammaproteobacteria; Vibrionales; Vibrionaceae. The record is from RNAcentral.
AUGGCUGUCGUCAGCUCGUGUUGUGAAAUGUUGGGUUAAGUCCCGCAACGAGCGCAACCCUUAUCCUUGUUUGCCAGCACUUCGGGUGGGAACUCCAGGGAGACUGCCGGUGAUAAACCGGAGGAAGGUGGGGACGACGUCAAGUCAUCAUGGCCCUUACGAGUAGGGCUACACACGUGCUACAAUGGCGCAUACAGAGGGCGGCCAACUUGCGAGAGUGAGCGAAUCCCAAAAAGUGCGUCGUAGUCCGGAUCGGAGUCUGCAACUCGACUCCGUGAAGUCGGAAUCGCUAGUAAUCGUGGAUCAGAAUGCCACGGUGAAUACGUUCCCGGGCCUUGUACACACCGCCCGU